Oreochromis niloticus (Nile tilapia) is the source of this 2179-nucleotide long non-coding RNA. NCBI's taxonomy places the organism in Eukaryota, Metazoa, Chordata, Actinopteri, Cichliformes, Cichlidae. The record is from Ensembl.
AUGGUGCUGCUGGGAGAGGUCAGCGAAGGAACUCGAAGGCAUGCAAGAAGGAUUUUACUGCGUGAUGGGCCACCACCAGAGGACGCCAGAUAUCCAGCUCAGAUACCACCUGCUUCCUCAUCGUCAGCCUGUAUGUUUGAUAACACAUUUCAAACUUCUCAGCAACUUACCAACCAGAAACAGGAAGCUUCACACAUACAGAUGUGUUUUACCUCACUGUGUGUUACCAGGUUUAAGCCCCAUCACAACCAAGCAGGCCUCCUUGCAUCGUGUAUAUGAAAUGUGACGCUGUAGCCUUGUCCCCAGUGGAUGUCUCUGCUGCAGCUUUCUAUUUUCCCACUCUGGCUGCCCACUGGGGCUGAAGCUCCCUGUCAACUCUCCUGCCAAGGUUACAGCCUGCUCCCACUGCUGCUGCUGCUGCUGAGGAAUUUAUUAUCAGCAUAUAUUUAUAUUUCUCCACUGGGAUUGGUGCCUAUUUCCAUCUAUAUCUGUGUGGGGUUUUUUGGCAUUGACAUAAAGUGUUACAAAAAUAAAGAAGGCCAUACGACUCAUUCAUCUGCCUAGUGUGUAUAUCUGACUGCAACUAUAUUUAAUUUAAUGAUAAUGUACUGUAUUGAUCCUGCUUGUCAGGAACAGCCAUGUAUUUUCUGCUUUUACUAAGUGGAAAGAUUGUAUGCGAUGGCUUCAUUCGUUAUAGAUUAGGUAAUCAUUUACUAAUGCUUAUUAAAACAGUCGUAGCGUUUGAAGAAAUGUCAUUUUUUGACCACUUAUUGCAGCUGGCUGCUGCAUGGGUUGCCAUAUUUAAUCUAAAGAUGCCAGUGUAACAGCAGUAAAAGGGUCCCUACUUCUGCGAUUGGGCACUUACGUUUUCUGUCAAGUAUUUCUGCAUGUUUUUUGUGCCUCACCACAGUUAGUGGGAAAUGAUUAAAUCAAGCUGUGAAUAAAGUUCAGUGAAUUUCUCAAAAUAAUGCACUAUGCGAUUACAAUGGAGAGCGAUUUGGUUCAUGGACAAAGGUGGCCUGUUUUCAGAUUUCAUGACAAAUUUAAGAAGAUUAAAGGUGUGGAGUUUGUUACAAGUGUUGCAUUUGCAUUUGGCUGCAAUUUAUGGGAACCUUAAACGUGGUAGUCCAAACAGAUGCUGGCCCAAAGGAAGGAGGACAUCAUUAAGCUUUGAAAAAAGAAAAACUAGUUACUGUGGUCGGUCAACAGUCUGGUGCAAUAUGCACUGAUGAGCUCAGCAACAACAAAAGGCUUGAGACCACUGAGGGAUCACUGAUGACAGAACAUCACCGCCAAGCCAAGAAAGAGUAGAAAAAAACAGCAUCGGGCCAUGUCCACGGGUGCCAAACCCGACAGGACUGUGAGUCGUUAUUAGGAGGGUUACAAAGGUUACAUUUUUGCAGGUUAAUGAUGUCCUCCAUCUUUUUCUCUCUCUCUCAAUGACUGUCUCAUUAAUACAAACACAAAGCACAUCCAUUAAAAAAGUCUUGUAUAAUCAAUUGGCAGUGCGGCUGCCGCAACAAACUAGUGUCAUUAUUAGUGGAUAGAUCUGUGUAUAGAAAGUAAGAAAAGAGUUUUACAAGUGGAAAUUUCACUGCACUGGGAAUGUAGAUGCUCAUAAUAUAUAAAUACAUUAAAAGCUGUGUAAAUGUGCAUCAAAAGAAAUGUAUUCCUAACUUAAUUCAGAGUUCCUGACAUUUUAGUUGCUUUUAGUUGUUUAAACCUUGUUAUUUUUGAUUGACUUCAAGCGUUUUGUUGGAUAAAUGAACCCCAUGCCCAAUUUUACUGUACUCGUUUUCAUUGUUUUAUAAGAGUGUGUGCCUGGUGGAGGACAAAAGCAAAGCAUGAAUGUGACUCCUGAGUGAAGUGAGUUAGUAGGUUUAGGAACACUGCAGAGGGAGAUUCUGCUCAAUGGUAAAAUAUUGAUCUGUAUUAAACCUAAAGCUGGCUCCACUGAGGUUUUUCGAGGCAGAAGUAGUAAAGCACACCCUGUUACAGUGUGACGUGUCACUGAAGAAACAAAUAAUUGAUCAGAUUUCAGCUGUUGAAAAUGACCUGUUGGCCUAUAAUCUGUGAAACAUACGUCAAAAAUAUCUCUCAUGAAUUAUAGGGUUAACCCAUUAAUCUCUGGCUCGCCUCCACAGUGUGUCUUUGUUCUGUCUUCCUCCCCUCACCCACA